AGGUUCUUCCUCAAGAAAAAUUCUAAGAAGUUACUAAUAAAAUUGGAAGAUUUUAAGGUAAACUGCAAAAGACAAAGAGAAUUCCUCCACUGAGGCCGGAAAUUGGGCCCACGGGAAUUAGCUGAAUGGCUGCAAUGUAUCUUCCAUAGAAGACUGGCAGUAUCUUUUGAUGAAACUCCUAACAACAAUGGCAAUUGCCUAAGAAGUAUCUUGAGAGCUGUAUUCAUUGUGGAAGCCAUGGGCAAAUCUGGGAAGAUACUUCUGAAGUACUUCCAAAAUGAACAGACUGUUCAGCUGAAACUCAGAUAGAGGGGAAAACUUAUACUGCAAAAGAAAGCAUGGUGACCCAGGGUAAGCAUAAACUCUGGUAGCAAAAUGAAAACAGCCCUGCUGAGCCAUCUGGUUAAUGCUCUACCAGUGACACCGUUCAUGAGAAAGCAGAGUGAUAAGCCAGGAGGAAGAUGAAAAAAGAAGAAAAAGUAAAACUUCAAAAAAACAUGGAACCACUCCCAUCACCUGAAGCUUAGACCACACACCUGAAAGGGAGUAACCCACAUCCAGCUCCAGCACAGAGUAUGAACAGCCUUAUCUCCCUUUCAAUUCCACCAUUUUGCAGAUGUCUUAUAUACUUACAUAAAGUGUUUAUAAAGAAGGAAUUGCGUAUUUAUUUCCUGUUUCUUUAAUAAUUAUAGUAACUUAUGAUAUUAUAAACUUUCAUGAGCCGCAGCAUCUCCUCAUAGUUCCUGCAUUACUGCCAUUUGGCUCCCGGUUGUUACAGUUUCCUUCACUUCCCAGCUCCACCUGGGACUACUUGCUCUGUUAAGAUCCUAAACCAACCCUGCUUAUUGUUGUUCUGUGUGUGAAGAAGCAGGAAAUGUGUGGGUAGUGGAUGUGGGAGCAUAUUUGUGAUCUGCUGUAUCAUUUCAAUAGUCACGUACAUGUACCGUGCACAAUACACAGACUGCCUUCUCUUCAGUUAAUCCACAAGUCAACAACUAAUCACAUACAACACUGUAGUCAUCUCCACAAGUUAAGAUAUGCCCUGGAACACCUGAUUUUAAGGAGUUACUUGAAAGACAGGAAAAUCCUUACUAGCUGUAGAGUUGUGCUAAAGAUUAAACCACUUUGAAGCAGAAACAAAUUGCCGAAAGCCUUAUGUUGGAGACUAUUAUUUGACACCGCUCCUAUCUCAGACCGAAGGGGAAGCAGAAGCCAGCGCUGGAGCAAGGUGCAAGGGUCUGUCCCGCCAGCUGCCAUGUGCCUGCAUUAGCCUGCGUGGCACAGCAGCAUCCAUGCUGAUGCACAGCCCCUAAUUCCCAGAGAGGAAUCUUUCCCACUUUUGCUCUUGAACCAACACAGCACUCCUUACAACGUGAAAUUGAAACUUGUCAUACCCUUCUGAUGUACAUACACCUUAACCCUCUUCUCUUAAAACAGAUCAGUCUCACCGAUGUUACAGUACUGAGGUAUCUAAUUAGGUGGUCUAACAGAUUUAUGUUACUUGAAUGUAUAAAGAAAUGGAAAUAGUAUAAAAAUAUGGAGAAGACAACCAAAAAUGUGUAUGCCUAAACACAACUUUUUUUUCUGUGUCUCCAUACUAAUUAAUCUUCUUUUAGGAAACAACAGAUCUAUAUCUCCCCGAGUCAAAGCACCAAGAAAUCUAAUGGAAAGGAACGCAACACAAGAAAUGGAUCGAAUAUGAUCGAGAAAAAAAGCUCUCCGCAUUUUACAUAGAAAAUAUUUUCUGAGUGCUUCUUCAUAUAGAUGCCAAGUGGUAUUUUUAUUAACUUAUUGAUGAGGCCACCUUCUCAUAGAAAUAUAAAUUCUUUUAGCUUGGAAAAUUGUUAUUGAUUUUCAUUUUAAAAUGGCA
Non-coding RNA from Phalacrocorax carbo (great cormorant), 1870 nucleotides. The record is from RefSeq and is a predicted model, not a curated record. NCBI's taxonomy places the organism in Eukaryota, Metazoa, Chordata, Aves, Suliformes, Phalacrocoracidae.